GAUGAAGAACGCAGCGAAAUGCGAUACGUAAUGUGAAUUGCAGAAUUCAGUGAAUCAUCGAAUCUUUGAACGCAUAUUGCGCUCUUUGGUAUUCCGAAGAGCAUGCUUGUUUGAGUAUCAGUAAACACCUCAAAGUCUUUUUUUCUUGAAGAAAAAGACCUUGGACUUGAGCAAUCCCAACUCUUCUUUCAGAAGAGGCGGGUUGCUUGAAAUGCAGGUGCAGCUGGACAUUCUCCUGAGCUAAAUCAUAUUCAUUUAGUCCCGUCAAACGGAUUAUUACUUUUGCUGCAGCUAACAUAAAGGGAGUUUGACCAUUUUGGCUGACUGAUGCAGGAAUUUCACAAGAGUCUUCAAAACGCUCUUGUUAAACUCGAUCUCAAAUCAAGUAAGACUACCCGCUGAACUUAAGCAUAUCAAUAAGCGGAGGA
This 428-nucleotide unclassified non-coding RNA is filed under the name soil metagenome. RNAcentral's name for it is "partial contains 5.8S ribosomal RNA, internal transcribed spacer 2, and large subunit ribosomal RNA". The stretch from base 1 to 120 matches the Rfam family "5.8S ribosomal RNA", at positions 35 to 154 of the family's 154-position model. The record is from RNAcentral.